This is a non-coding RNA of Pelodiscus sinensis (Chinese soft-shelled turtle), 545 nucleotides long. The record is from RefSeq and is a predicted model, not a curated record. Lineage: Eukaryota; Metazoa; Chordata; Testudines; Trionychidae.
GAGAAGUACUCCUGAAAACCAGAUAUAUAGGAACAUUUGCAGAAAGACAGAAUUAUCCAACAUUCAUCUAUGCUAUAUUGAUCUAAAAUGCUGUCUUAGUCAACUUUCCUUAUGCGCUAACAAGGUCAAAAUGUGCCACUUUCACAUGGAUUUCAGUGGACAAUUGAAACAUACCAAGCUCAGCAAUGUCAAAGAAUUGAGAAGGGAUUCUUGAGAUUUUUCUACUAGAGGCUAAGAGGUCUGACAACAUUGCUUCUCUUUGAGACAGCAUCAGCAAACACAAGGGAGCCAAACAAAAUAUUUGCUGAAUGAAGGACAAACUGACAAUAUGCCAUAUUGGAAUUUCCAUUGCUAUGACGGGCAGCUGGACUCACACACUAGCCUGGCAAUGAGACCCCGCCUACAGCCUUUGCAAAGGAGAUAAUGAACUACAGUAGGAGAUCAGAAGCCCCUUGGAACACACAAGAUACAUACCUAAGGAAAAGCAUGAGAUGGUCAGAUUUCCCAGACACCAAAACAAGAACCCCGGGGUUCCGCAGAACACC